AUACGGAGGGUGCAAGCGUUGUCCGGAUUUAUUGGGUUUAAAGGGUGCGUAGGUGGUUUUUUAAGUCAGUGGUGAAAGCCUACAGCUUAACUGUAGAGGUGCCAUUGAAACUGGGGAACUUGAGUAUGGACGAGGUAGGCGGAAUUUGUGGUGUAGCGGUGAAAUGCAUAGAUACCACAAAGAACACCGAUAUCGAAGGCAGCUUACUAGGCCAUAACUGACACUGAGGCACGAAAGUGUGGGGAGCGAACAGGAUUAGAAACCCCAGUAGUCC
RNAcentral lists this ribosomal RNA (274 nucleotides) under uncultured bacterium. RNAcentral's name for it is "partial 16S ribosomal RNA". It matches the Rfam family "Bacterial small subunit ribosomal RNA", at positions 523 to 796 of the family's 1533-position model. The record is from RNAcentral.